This 513-nucleotide ribosomal RNA is filed under the name uncultured bacterium. RNAcentral describes it as "bacterial SSU rRNA". It matches the Rfam family "Bacterial small subunit ribosomal RNA", at positions 8 to 521 of the family's 1533-position model. The record is from RNAcentral.
AGAGUUUGAUCCUGGCUCAGGAUGAACGCUGGCGGCGUGCCUAACACAUGCAAGUCGAGCGAAGCGCAUGGAUACGAUUCUUCGGAUGAAGAUUCAUGUGACUGAGCGGCGGACGGGUGAGUAACGCGUGGGCAACCUGCCUUACACAGGGGGAUAACAGUUAGAAAUGACUGCUAAUACCGCAUAAGACCCCGGGACCGCAUGGUUCCGAGGUAAAAACUCCGGUGGUGUAAGAUGGGCCCGCGUCUGAUUAGGUAGUUGGCGGGGUAACGGCCCACCAAGCCGACGAUCAGUAGCCGACCUGAGAGGGUGACCGGCCACAUUGGGACUGAGACACGGCCCAGACUCCUACGGGAGGCAGCAGUGGGGAAUAUUGCACAAUGGGGGAAACCCUGAUGCAGCGACGCCGCGUGAGCGAUGAAGUAUUUCGGUAUGUAAAGCUCUAUCAGCAGGGAAGAAAAUGACGGUACCUGACUAAGAAGCCCCGGCUAACUACGUGCCAGCAGCCGCGGU